RNAcentral lists this ribosomal RNA (1434 nucleotides) under Kribbella sp. PL116. Its description in RNAcentral is "bacterial SSU rRNA". It matches the Rfam family "Bacterial small subunit ribosomal RNA". The record is from RNAcentral. Lineage: Bacteria; Bacillati; Actinomycetota; Actinomycetes; Propionibacteriales; Kribbellaceae.
GGGGGACGACGCUGGCGGCGUGCAUUACACAUGCAAGUCGAGCGGUAAGGCCCCUUCGGGGGUACACGAGCGGCGAACGGGUGAGUAACACGUGAGCAACCUACCCUCAACUCUGGGAUAAGCCUCGGAAACGGGGUCUAAUACCGGAUAUCAUCACAGGCUUCAUGGUUUGUGGUUGAAAGUUCUGGCGGUUGGGGAUGGGCUCGCGGCCUAUCAGCUUGUUGGUGGGGUAAUGGCCUACCAAGGCGUCGACGGGUAGCCGGCCUGAGAGGGCGACCGGCCACACUGGGACUGAGACACGGCCCAGACUCCUACGGGAGGCAGCAGUGGGGAAUAUUGCGCAAUGGACGAAAGUCUGACGCAGCAACGCCGCGUGAGGGAUGACGGCCUUCGGGUUGUAAACCUCUUUCAGCAGGGACGAAGCGAGAGUGACGGUACCUGCAGAAGAAGGACCGGCCAACUACGUGCCAGCAGCCGCGGUAAUACGUAGGGUCCGAGCGUUGUCCGGAAUUAUUGGGCGUAAAGGGCUCGUAGGCGGUUCGUCACGUCGGGAGUGAAAACUCGGGGCUUAACCCCGAGCCUGCUUCCGAUACGGGCAGACUAGAGGUAGGCAGGGGAGAGCGGAACUCCUGGUGUAGCGGUGGAAUGCGCAGAUAUCAGGAAGAACACCGGUGGCGAAGGCGGCUCUCUGGGCCUUACCUGACGCUGAGGAGCGAAAGCGUGGGUAGCGAACAGGAUUAGAUACCCUGGUAGUCCACGCCGUAAACGUUGGGCGCUAGGUGUGGGGGACAUUCCACGUCCUCCGUGCCGCAGCUAACGCAUUAAGCGCCCCGCCUGGGGAGUACGGCCGCAAGGCUAAAACUCAAAGGAAUUGACGGGGGCCCGCACAAGCGGCGGAGCAUGCGGAUUAAUUCGAUGCAACGCGAAGAACCUUACCUGGGUUUGACAUAUAGGGAAAUCUCGCAGAGAUGCGGGGUCCGUAAGGGUCCUAUACAGGUGGUGCAUGGCUGUCGUCAGCUCGUGUCGUGAGAUGUUGGGUUAAGUCCCGCAACGAGCGCAACCCUCGUCCUAUGUUGCCAGCACGUUAUGGUGGGGACUCAUAGGAGACUGCCGGGGUCAACUCGGAGGAAGGUGGGGAUGACGUCAAGUCAUCAUGCCCCUUAUGUCCAGGGCUUCACGCAUGCUACAAUGGCCGGUACAAAGGGCUGCGAUACCGCAAGGUGGAGCGAAUCCCAAAAAGCCGGUCUCAGUUCGGAUUGGGGUCUGCAACUCGACCCCAUGAAGUCGGAGUCGCUAGUAAUCGCAGAUCAGCAACGCUGCGGUGAAUACGUUCCCGGGCCUUGUACACACCGCCCGUCACGUCAUGAAAGUCGGCAACACCCGAAGCCGGUGGCCUAACCCUUGUGGAGGGAGCCGUCGAAGGUGGGGCUGGCG